Molecule: transfer RNA, 69 nt
Filed under: Acidaminococcus hominis
Lineage: Bacteria; Bacillati; Bacillota; Negativicutes; Acidaminococcales; Acidaminococcaceae
Rfam family: tRNA
About the family: Transfer RNA (tRNA) molecules are approximately 80 nucleotides in length. Their secondary structure includes four short double-helical elements and three loops (D, anti-codon, and T loops).
Source: RNAcentral
CGGAAGUAGCUCAGUGGUAGAGCACCACCUUGCCAAGGUGGGGGUCGCGAGUUCGAAUCUCGUUUUCCG